This 3618-nucleotide ribosomal RNA is filed under the name Massilia sp. 9I. RNAcentral describes it as "ribosomal RNA 23s ribosomal RNA". It matches the Rfam family "Bacterial large subunit ribosomal RNA". Lineage: Bacteria; Pseudomonadati; Pseudomonadota; Betaproteobacteria; Burkholderiales; Oxalobacteraceae. The record is from RNAcentral.
ACAAGCGAAUAAGUGCACAUGGUGGAUGCCUUGGCGAUUACAGGCGAUGAAGGACGUAGUAGCUUGCGAUAAGCUGCGGGGAGUGAGCAAACACACUUUGAUCCGCAGAUUUCCGAAUGGGGAAACCCGGCCUUUUAGGUCAUUGCAUACUGAAUACAUAGGUAUGCAAAGCGAACGCGGCGAACUGAAACAUCUAAGUAGCUGCAGGAAAAGAAAUCAACCGAGAUUCCCAAAGUAGUGGCGAGCGAAAUGGGAUGAGCCUGUACGUGAUAGUCGAAUUGAUAGUGGAAGCUUCUGGAAAUAAGCGCCAUAGCGGGUGAUAGCCCCGUACACGAAAUCUCUUCGGUGGUACUAAGCGUACGACAAGUAGGGCGGGACACGAGAAAUCCUGUCUGAACAUGGGGGGACCAUCCUCCAAGGCUAAAUACUCGUAAUCGACCGAUAGUGAACCAGUACCGUGAGGGAAAGGCGAAAAGAACCCCGGGAGGGGAGUGAAAUAGAUCCUGAAACCGUGUGCAUACAAACAGUCGGAGCCUCUUUAUGGGGUGACGGCGUACCUUUUGUAUAAUGGGUCAGCGACUUACAUUCAGUGGCGAGGUUAACCGAAUAGGGGAGCCGUAGAGAAAUCGAGUCCGAACAGGGCGACAGUCGCUGGGUGUAGACCCGAAACCAAGUGAUCUACCCAUGGCCAGGAUGAAGGUGCGGUAACACGCCCUGGAGGUCCGAACCCACUAAUGUUGAAAAAUUAGGGGAUGAGCUGUGGGUAGGGGUGAAAGGCUAAACAAACUUGGAAAUAGCUGGUUCUCUCCGAAAACUAUUUAGGUAGUGCCUCAAGUAUCACCAUCGGGGGUAGAGCACUGUUAUGGCUAGGGGGUCAUUGCGACUUACCAAACCAUUGCAAACUCCGAAUACCGAUGAGUGCGAGCUUGGGAGACAGACGUCGGGUGCUAACGUCCGGCGUCAAGAGGGAAACAACCCAGACCGCCAGCUAAGGUCCCAAAGAUUGGCUAAGUGGAAAACGAAGUGGGAAGGCUAAAACAGUCAGGAUGUUGGCUUAGAAGCAGCCACCAUUUAAAGAAAGCGUAAUAGCUCACUGAUCGAGUCGUCCUGCGCGGAAGAUGUAACGGGGCUAAGCCAGUCACCGAAGCUGCGGAUAUGGCUAAAACAGUCAGGAUGUUGGCUUAGAAGCAGCCACCAUUUAAAGAAAGCGUAAUAGCUCACUGAUCGAGUCGUCCUGCGCGGAAGAUGUAACGGGGCUAAGCCAGUCACCGAAGCUGCGGAUAUAUUUCUCGUGAUUUAUCACUUGAUCUAUAUGGUAGGAGAGCGUUCUGUAAGCCUGCGAAGGUGUCUUGUGAAGGAUGCUGGAGGUAUCAGAAGUGCGAAUGCUGACAUGAGUAGCGAUAAUGCGGGUGAAAAGCCCGCACGCCGUAAGCCCAAGGUUUCCUGUUCAACGUUCAUCGGAGCAGGGUGAGUCGGCCCCUAAGGCGAGGCAGAGAUGCGUAGCUGAUGGGAAGCAGGUUAAUAUUCCUGCACCGUCGUAUGAUGCGAUGGGGGGACGGAUCGCGGAAGGUUGUCUAACUGUUGGAAUAGUUAGUUUUUGACUCAUAGAAGGUGCUUAGGCAAAUCCGGGCACGUAAUUCAAGGGGUCGAGACGAGGGACUUAGGUCCUGAAGCAAUCGGAAGUGGUUCCAAGAAAAGCCUCUAAGCUUCAGUCAUACGAGACCGUACCGCAAACCGACACAGGUGGGCGAGAUGAGUAUUCUAAGGCGCUUGAGGGCUAAAACAGUCAGGAUGUUGGCUUAGAAGCAGCCACCAUUUAAAGAAAGCGUAAUAGCUCACUGAUCGAGUCGUCCUGCGCGGAAGAUGUAACGGGGCUAAGCCAGUCACCGAAGCUGCGGAUAUCUAGCAAUAGAUAUGGUAGGAGAGCGUUCUGUAAGCCUGCGAAGGUGUCUUGUGAAGGAUGCUGGAGGUAUCAGAAGUGCGAAUGCUGACAUGAGUAGCGAUAAUGCGGGUGAAAAGCCCGCACGCCGUAAGCCCAAGGUUUCCUGUUCAACGUUCAUCGGAGCAGGGUGAGUCGGCCCCUAAGGCGAGGCAGAGAUGCGUAGCUGAUGGGAAGCAGGUUAAUAUUCCUGCACCGUCGUAUGAUGCGAUGGGGGGACGGAUCGCGGAAGGUUGUCUAACUGUUGGAAUAGUUAGUUUUUGACUCAUAGAAGGUGCUUAGGCAAAUCCGGGCACAUAAUUCAAGGGGUUGAGACGAGGGACUUAGGUCCUGAAGCAAUCGGAAGUGGUUCCAAGAAAAGCCUCUAAGCUUCAGUCAUACGAGACCGUACCGCAAACCGACACAGGUGGGCGAGAUGAGUAUUCUAAGGCGCUUGAGAGAACUCGGGAGAAGGAACUCGGCAAAUUGGUACCGUAACUUCGGGAUAAGGUACGCCCCGGUAGCUUGACUGCUUUACUGCAGAAGGGCGAAAGGGUUGCAAUAAACUGGUGGCUGCGACUGUUUAAUAAAAACACAGCACUCUGCAAACACGAAAGUGGACGUAUAGGGUGUGACGCCUGCCCGGUGCUGGAAGAUUAAAUGAUGGGGUGCAAGCUCUUGAUUGAAGUCCCAGUAAACGGCGGCCGUAACUAUAACGGUCCUAAGGUAGCGAAAUUCCUUGUCGGGUAAGUUCCGACCUGCACGAAUGGCGUAACGAUGGCCACACUGUCUCCUCCCGAGACUCAGCGAAGUUGAAAUGUUUGUGAUGAUGCAAUCUACCCGCGGCUAGACGGAAAGACCCCAUGAACCUUUACUGUAGCUUUGCAUUGGACUUUGAACCAAUCUGUGUAGGAUAGGUGGGAGGCUUUGAAGCGGGGACGCCAGUUCUCGUGGAGCCAUCCUUGAAAUACCACCCUGGUUUGUUUGAGGUUCUAACCUUGGUCCGUUAUCCGGAUCGGGGACAGUGCAUGGUAGGCAGUUUGACUGGGGCGGUCUCCUCCUAAAGUGUAACGGAGGAGUUCGAAGGUACGCUAGGUACGGUCGGACAUCGUGCUAAUAGUGCAAUGGCAUAAGCGUGCUUAACUGCGAGACCGACAAGUCGAGCAGGUACGAAAGUAGGACAUAGUGAUCCGGUGGUUCUGUAUGGAAGGGCCAUCGCUCAACGGAUAAAAGGUACUCUGGGGAUAACAGGCUGAUUCCUCCCAAGAGUUCAUAUCGACGGGGGAGUUUGGCACCUCGAUGUCGGCUCAUCACAUCCUGGGGCUGUAGCCGGUCCCAAGGGUAUGGCUGUUCGCCAUUUAAAGUGGUACGUGAGCUGGGUUUAAAACGUCGUGAGACAGUUUGGUCCCUAUCUGCCGUGGGCGUUGGAAAUUUGAAGGGGGCUGCUCCUAGUACGAGAGGACCGGAGUGGACGAACCUCUGGUGUACCGGUUGUCACGCCAGUGGCAUUGCCGGGUAGCUAAGUUCGGAAGAGAUAACCGCUGAAAGCAUCUAAGCGGGAAACUUGCCUUGAGAUGAGAUUUCCCGGAGCCUUGAGCUCCUUGAAGGGUCGUUCGAGACCAGGACGUUGAUAGGCUGGGUGUGGAAGUGCAGUAAUGCAUUAAGCUAACCAGUACUAAUUGCCCGUACGGCUUGUCCCU